Molecule: non-coding RNA, 5497 nt
Organism: Chlorocebus sabaeus (green monkey)
Lineage: Eukaryota; Metazoa; Chordata; Mammalia; Primates; Cercopithecidae
Source: RefSeq, a predicted model, not a curated record
UUAUUACAUAUAUGUCAAUAAUUAUAGAUUAAUUAGUAUAGUUUUAUUAUUAAGAAAAUAAAAUAGUAAAUAUAAGUGCUUUGUUUAUAGCAGUUUUUUCAAGGUAUUGAACUUCUCAACUGUAUUUAUCCUUUUAAUCAAUCUAUCACAUGUAAGCUGAAUGCCUACUAUGUAGAAGGUACAUUAACUUUCAAGACCCUUUCACCCUUAAAAGUUUCACAUUUACCUACUCAGCCUGAGCAAAGUGAGAGAUUUAAAGUUGGGUUACUAGGACUGAAUCUCAGUUGAAGCUUUUCCUCUCAUCUUUCAAACAAAAACACUUCUGAAGUGAGAAACUAGUAAAAGAUAACUAUCAACCACUAUUUUUGAAAUUUAUAACAGCUUUAAAUAGUAAUAUUAAUCAUUGAAAAUACCUAAUUUACAUGCAUUCUAUAAAUCUAAAUAUGAAUUUACAUACAUUCUGUAAAUCUAAAUACGGAAUAAAAUGAGCCAUACCUUCUUGAAUCCCGUUUUCUUUGGCUUGAAGUUUUAAAAAUAUUAAAGAAGUACUUUGUUUUACCAGUUUGUUGUUUUUAUUUCAACUCUCCUUUUGUGUAUACUCUUAAAAGCUAAAAUUUCUUUAAGUGUUAAUCCUGUGACUAGGACUGCCAUCAUCCUGUUGUGUAUAUCAUAUUCCACUUCAUGGAAGGCACCAUGAAUUGUGUGAUGCCUCCUUAUUUAUGUACCAAUGAAAGAUUGUUAAAUUUCUGCAAAAUAUACUUGUAAUAAAUAAUGAAUUAUAAGUGGCAUUCCAAUGUCAGAGAUGUUAAAAUAUGAGACAUAGAGUAUCUUAGAAUCAUUAAAAUAUAGUGUUAUCUCUAACCUUUAAAGCAUACCACAAAGUAGGCAUAAUUGUACCAUUUUACUUAAAAUGUUGUCCUUGUUAAGUAGUAGAAAUGAUUACAAUAUCUAACAAUUACUGAGCUGUUACAUGUGCUAGGAAUUCUUCAAAAUACUUUGCAUAGAUUCUCAUGAGGCAUCACAGUGAUGUCCUGCGAGAUAACCGCUGUAUUCAUCUUCACUUUGACAAGAAAAUUGAGGCACUGAAAGGAUAAGCAAUAGCUAGAAGGUGAAAGACUUUAAAGUAAUAUUCAAGCCUGAGUUGAACUGAAUCCAAAGGCCAAGCUUUUUCUAUUCAAAUAGGCCACUCUUUCAUUAAUGUAGUGAGUAAUAAGAGCGAAUGAGUGUUGUACUUUCUUCAGGAGAAUAUUAAAUAUUUGUUUUGAAGGCAGAGAAAGAGCAUGGUAUUUAAUGUUGACAAUUACAUAAAUCAUUAUAUGUUUUGAGACAGUGGACUAAACUUUCCUAAAAAGUCCUCUCACUCUCAUAGGACUGCUCUACACUGGGCCUGUGCCAAUGGCCAUGCGGAAGUAGUAACACUUCUGGUAGAUAGAAAGUGCCAGCUUGAUGUCCUUGAUGGCGAAAACAGGACACCUCUGAUGAAGGUAAAUAGUAGCCAGUUCUUUUAGCAGGAGAUCGAUUUGAUUUAAAUACAUAGAAUAAAAAUGAAUUUAUCUCAUUGAAAUAUAACUAGUUUGUGAAAACUGUGGAAUAUUUAUUUAUAUUUCUUAUAAUUUAUAAUUUACUUCUUGCUUUAAUACUAACAGGCUCUGCAAUGCCAGAGGGAGGCUUGUGCAAAUAUUCUCAUAGAUUCUGGUGCUGAUCCAAAUAUUGUAGAUGUGUAUGGCAACACGGCUGUCCAUUAUGCUGUUUACAGUGAGAAUUUGUCAGUGGUGGUAAAAUUGCUGUCCUGUGGUGCAGACAUCGAAGUGAAGAACAAGGCUGGUCACACACCACUUUUACUGGCCAUAAAGAAAAGAAGUGAGCAAAUUGUGGAAUUUUUACUGACAAAAAAUGCAAAUGCAAAUGCAGUUGAUAAGUUUAAAUGCACAGCCCUAAUGCUUGCCGUAUGUCAUGGAUCAUCAGAGAUAGUUGGCAUGGUUCUUCAGCAAAAUGUUGACAUCUGUGCUGAAGAUACGUGUGGAAUGACUGCAGAACGUUAUGCUGUUGCUUGUGGAUUUAAUCUGUAAGUGUUUACAUUUAAGGGCUAGGUGAGAUUUUAUAGUUUGUUUCAGGUAGUUUUUGAAUGACAGUGAGUUAGUUCACUUCAUCAGCCAGAAACUAGGCAAAACAAGCUAGACUAAUUAGAAGGAGUAAUGACUCCAGGAUUCUUUAUUUUAGGGCUUUAGGGAUGCUGAUGUUGGCUACUUGAUUUGAAGUAUAAUCCCUAUGCAUGGGAUAAACAUAAUGUCACAAUUUUGAUUUUUCUAAUUAGUUAUUUGGGUCUUGAAAUAUUCACUUUAAGCAGACAACCUGAAAGUGUCCCCUGGGGCUGUCUUUAAUUCUUGAAUUUUUUAAAAGAAUCUGAACCUAAGUCCAAGGAAGACAUUCGUUUUGUACAAGUCAGAAGGAUGUGGAGGGAAAUGGCCAUUCUCUUCAUUUUGUUGUUUCCAUUGAUUCUAUUGCUGCAUCGGUGCCAUUGAAACUGCUCCUGCAAUCUGGUAAUGACUGACCUUUGUGACCAGGAUGCCCUUAGUAAUACAGAUCCCUCAGUCUUCAUGGUGUAGACUUCAAAGUUAUUACACUUUUGUAAAAAUUCACAUACAUAUUCUCAGCCAUUGUUUCCAAAGUACCAGCACCCUGCUCUGGAACUUUUCUGGAACUUUUCUGGAACUUUUAGCUUUAGCAACACACAUAGUGAGCAAAUUGACCCUUCCCCUCACGCUCAAAACCUGAUGUGACACCCACAUCUUAGCCUGGACAUGGCCUAGACCUUCAUUGUAAGUUAUCCUUUGAGUGGCUUUUUCUAUAUUCUCUAGCCAAUAUUAGUAGUAGUUUGAAACCAUAAGUCUGGUUGAAAUAAUGUUACAGGAAGAAAUUGGAGAUCCAUUUUGUCUUUGUUACCAGAUCUAUGUCCCUGGCCCUUUAUAUGCUGUGUAGCACCAUUUUGUAGGUAGUGGAAGGUCUCAUCUUAUUCUGUAAGAUCCCAUGUCAUCUUUCCCAUGUUGUAGUGUGUUCCAACUUGUGGUUGUCCCCUCGAGUUAUUCUUUUUUCCUAAAAGUAAAAAUCUUCCAUGCUACUUGCAUCUGUACCUCAAGUUUUUAAAAUAUUUUCAAAUUCUGCAUCACCAUGAAGCCAUUCAAUAGACUUCACUAAAUCUCAAGUAAGUUGGUUAGAUUUAACAGAGCUAAGCCUCAUCUGUGACUGAUCAGUCUUCACAUACAAAAGUAAGGAUUUGUGCUGGCUUCAGUGGUACAAAUGGUAAAAUUGAAACAACGUUGAGAAGGUCAGCAUGGUCCCUGCACAAGGAUGACAUACAAAUCUGUGAAGUGUUGUGUAUUUCUUGCAGUCCCCAAAAAGACAUUUUACUACUUUUUAACUAGCUCCAAGGAAAUGGUGUGAGUCAAAGCAAAAUGGGUGACACCAAUAUUGCAAUUGUGAUUUUCAUACAAAAAAUUAUUUAUGUAAGGUGAUCUAUGAAAUGAGAUGGUGGUAACACAUAGGGUCUUAUGUGCAAUAUUUUGUUAGUAGGGAUCUCAGAAAUGAGAAAAUACCAACUUGCAUCUUCUUUGUGGAACUUACAAAAAAUAAAGGUGGGAUUUUUUUCUUCCACAGCAGCUGGAAAUGAACAUAGUGACUAAGCAUCAUUCUAAUAAAGAUUUGUUGAUUCAGAGUUUAAGGAGGUGGAUAAAGAGCAGUCGUAGUCCAAGCCAGAUGCUGACAUCUAUUAGUUUUCUGCCCUUGGUGUGACUAAUGAGCUCAGUAAUAGAGGAUGAUUAGGUUAUCUGAUUUAAUGAUUUAACAUAUUUAUAAAUAAGUUUCAUUACAGAAUAUAAAAUAGCUUAGAUGCUCUGAAUUACAAGCCACAAAUAAUAGAACAUCUAAUAUCCAAAAGUAGGAAUUAAUAACAGAAAACUGCAACAUUUGAAUAUUAUAAUCUAUGAAAAAACACGUUUGUGUUUUCUUUUUUUUUUGUAAUUUAUUUAUGUUUUGUAGAGACAGGGUCUCCCUAUGUUGCCCAGCUGUUCUUGAACUUCUGGACUCAAGCAAUCCUCCUGUCUCAACAUCCCAAAGUGUUUGCAUCACAAGCAUGAGCCACUGCAGCAGGCCAAUAUAUUGGGUUUUAUUGGGAUUUUUAAAAUAGUUUCAGCAAUAAGGUUCAAGAACAAAUUAUUUUUUUGCUCUACUAUUUCUUUGAGCAUUUAAAAAAUGUUAUCUUGUUAAAUCUUUAUAAUAACCUAGUGAAAUAAGGCCCUAAAAUCCUCAUUUUUAGAAGACAUUGAGUCUAAGAGAAGCAACUUGUUCAAGAAAAAAUAUCUGUUGGUAGCCAUGCUAGGACUUAUUCUGAGUUAAGGACAUUUUCCAUAUGUCAGGCUAACUCUAGUUAAUUUACUGAGUUAUACUGCCCUUAAUUCAUGAGUGUUUUAUCUUUCUUUCUUCUUUAAUUAGAAGCUUAAUAAGUUCAUAGAGCUUACAAACUUAAAGUCUAUGGAAAAAGUAAUGUUCUGAUGUUAGCUCUAAUAUUGUCUGAAAUACUCUAAGAACUUAAUGAAUUUGGUAAAUUUUUUUAUAGCAAUGUUAAAAUAGUAACUUUAUUUCAUUUUUAUACAUAGCAUUCAUCAACAACUUUUGGAAUAUAAACAAAAGAUAUCUAAAAAUUCUCAAAAUAGCAAUCCAGGUAAGACCUCUGAUAGUAAACUACUCUUGGUGGUGUUACCAUAAGAUUAUAGGGGUGUUGAUCACAAAAUAGCUAUUAAAAAAGCAAUCUGUAAAUAACAUGUGUUUACAUAUAUAUAUAUACACCUAUAUGUAAGUGUUUGCAUAUAUAGACAUAGCUUUGAUUUAAUUUUUUAGUUUAUAAUUCAGAAUUAGUUAAGAAUUUAGUUGUAGGUAGUUUAUAAUCUCAAAAAUAUUAUCUGAAAAAUAUUUAAUUGCGGUCCCUAAUAUCCUAUAUAAUACUUUUGUAUAAAUAAGUAAAACAAUUUUUAAGUUUGCAUAUUGUAUGUUUCCUCAACUGUCAUAACAACUUAGGUUUGUUAUAAAAUGUAUAAUCCAUGGUGUGAUAGAUGAGCUCAGCAACAGGGGAUUAUCAGUUUAUCCAAUUUAAUGAAUUAAUAUAUUUAUAAAUAUUGUUACAAAUUAUAAAAUAGCUUAGAUGCCUUGAAUUACAAGCCACAAAUAAUAGAACAUCUAAUAAUGAAAAGUAGGAAUUAAUAAUAGAAAACUGCAACAUCUGAAUAUUAUAACCUAUAAGGAAACACAGUUUAUUUAUUUGUUUGUUUGUUUCUUUAUUGGAGAGACAUGGUCUCCUUAUGUUGCCCAGGCUGGUCUUGAACUUCUGGGCUUUAUUUAAUUUUUACAAUAAAUGAUUUGCAUUUAGAAAAUUAGAAUUAAUUAUAGUUGAGUCUUGAGUAACAUGACAGUUAGGGUGCUGAUCCCCCCAUGCAGCUGAAAAUCU